Gadus chalcogrammus (walleye pollock) is the source of this 3160-nucleotide RNA transcript. RefSeq lists it as uncharacterized. The transcript has 10 exons. The record is from RefSeq and is a predicted model, not a curated record. NCBI's taxonomy places the organism in Eukaryota, Metazoa, Chordata, Actinopteri, Gadiformes, Gadidae.
UCAGAGUAUAAAUAGGACACAGCCUUGUGUUUCAUGAUUGGAAUUCAUCAUGUCGAGGAUUCACAAGAGGUCUUCUGUUGUUGGCUGUAUGGACGUCCACAAAUCCCUCCAUCGUGUCCCAGAGGACGAAAGAGCGACGUGGAUUGAUUUCAUUUUUGAAGGCGAAGUCCCUGCUACAGUUGGCAAAAACCUGUUGGUCUGCGCUAACCACUUUACGACUGACUGUUUCUCCAACUUCGGUCAGUACACGGAAGGAUUAGCUGUGAAACUUUAUCUGAACGUGGGGUCCCUUCCAACUUUGCGUGGAAUACCUACAGACAUUUGCCUCAGAGCAUCCUGCAUCAUCGAAGUUACCUGCUACAAGGGAUAUUGGCUGCAAUACUGAGCCACCUCAGAGACACCAUGUUGGCACACAACUCUCUUUGAAGACUCUUCAUUCACAUUAGAGAAGUGAAGCUGUCCAGGCUACUGUGUCCUUCAAGGACUUUGGCACAUCCACUGAUCCCUUCACAGGCCCAUUGCCUGUAGCAUGCUCGACACCUGUAAAGCCGCCACCAUCUAAUAGACCUCGGCUGCAGCAGCAGGAGGAGGAGGAGGAGGAGGAGGAUUGUCUCGAGGGCAGCGCAAUACUGGCUUCUGAAGGGCUGGACGCAACCUUUCACCCUGAAGACUCGGUCAUAACUUUGCCUGAGUCAACAUUCAUGUCAAAUGCUGAAUCCACAUCCAAACACGAUAUAAGGAAGUACAUAGUGUACGAGACCUGUCUCAUGGAGCUGUUCGAGGUGUGUCCUGUGUGCAAGCGUGUUUGCAGUGUGAAAAACAAAGUGCUUGGGACAUUCAUAUCAGUGAAACAGUGAAACAGUUGGCAAAGCCAACCUCUUCUGGAUAGCACACCAGCUGGGAACUUGCAGCUUUGAGCAGCAGUGUACAUCAGUGGAGCCUCUUUCUUCAAAAUUCAAAGGGUGCUCAAGGCGAUGCAUCCGCAGAUUUUUCUGUAUGAUACCUUUCGUCGGCAUGCCCGAAUGUUUAUAGAGCCAGCUAUUGUCCAUAAAUGGAACCAUUCCCAGGAUGUGAUGCUGCAGCAGCUCAGCAAAGAAAGAAAAGUAAUACUUGGUGGCGACAUGAGGGCUGAUUCUCCAGGGCACUGUGCGAAAUUUGGGUGCUACACCAUGAUGGACCUCAACACCAAAACUAUUGUCGAUCUCCAGUUGGUUCAGCAUCGUCACUGACCGUCAUCCACAAAUCCAGAAAUGUCUGAGGGACAACAACAUCACUCAAUUUUAUGACGUCUGGCACAUGGAGAAAGGUACACUCACCCAACGAAACAUUAGAAACCUAUAGCAGGGACCCCCUUUUGCCUUCAGAACAAGAUACAAGAAGUAUUCUGUACAUAUUUCGGUGCAUAAUGAUAGGAUAGUAUCUUGUAGUUGGGGAAAAUGUGUGGAAUUCAUAUUGGGUUCACUUCCGAUUCUUAAAAUAUUUAUUCUGAUUUGUAGGAAUUACAAAGCAACUACAUAAAAUUAGCAAAACCAAGGACUGCCAGAAAGUAAAGACGUGGAUGCGAGCCAUCAGAAACCACAUCUAUUGGACGGCGGCAUCGUCAAUAACCGGGCCGGAGAGAGUGGCAAAAUGGACCUCCCUCCUGAACCAUGUUCAGGAUAUUCAUACUCAUGAUGAUCCCCUCUUCCCAAAAUGUCUGCAUCCAAUUCGCAGUACAACGGACAAGAGUAGAUGGCUCUCAGGAGCAACUCCUGCAUUCUACAAGCUGGAGAAGGCGCUGACCAAGAAGACAGUCCUGAGGGAUAUAGCAAAGCUCAGUCCCCACCACCAGACGUCCUCUUUGGAGGCAUUCCACGGCGUGAUCCUGCGGUUCGCUCCUAAAAAUGUGGUCUAUCCAUUUCUAGGAAUGCUGUGCAGACUCUACCUGGCUGCACUGCAUUACAAUGAGAAUUCUGAUAGAGGACAAGCCACUACGUCAUCAGGGGAUCUUAUGUUCAGACUGACCUUUCCUAAGGCCAGGAAGGGAGAGUACAGAGCCAAACCAGUGCAGACUGAGGCGACAUUCCAGUAUGUGAAUGAUUUGAUGGACAUGAUCAUGGAGAAGGUCUUUGUCGACCCAGCAUCCUACAGAGCUGAGAUUCUGAAGAUAAACAUCCCGCCGGAACUGUCCUCAGAAUAUGAGCAUCCAGACAAGGAGGAGGUCAUCGCCAGCUACGUCUCCAGAUUUAAUCAAGGGAGGGUGGUUUGAAGCCUCCGUAUAUUCCAUGGGCGUCCGGAAAUUCCCGGUGUAUGCGAAGAACCACGCAUGAUGGGAUAACAACCCGUAUCUUCCGCCCAAGGAAGCCCCAGCACCAGCUCACAAAAUGUCUGUAGGCUAAAUACCUGUAACGACUGAGAAAAUGUAACAUUGUUAGUCAACAGGUUCUACAAUGUCAACAUCUGUGUUCACAUUUUCUCAUUGAAUUCAGUGAAUUCUUCACUUAUACUGUAUUUAGAUGCACAAAUAUUCAUGACUGCAUUCAAUAAAUGUUUAUUGUAUCUGUACAAUGUUUUAUGUGAAUGAAUGGGUAAUAUGCAGUAUCUGCUUAUGAAAAAAUUGGCUUGUUAAAAUAUGAUGUGAAAUUGUGGCUUUGGCUGACUUUAUUUUGUUUAUUGUGUAUGAACAGUCAAGUAGGUUAUUAUAUGUAAAACUCACUGCUCUAUCCCCCGUAGUCGCAAAGGACCGUAGUCAGCUCUGUAGAUGUUGCAUGCGUUCUGCAGCGAGAACACAUUCAGACAAACCGGUUCUAAACCUGGAUGGUCUAUCAUGCAGGGAGGCCUUUCAUCCAGCUGUUCCAGCCGUCUUGUAACCUAUUAUGGAUAACAUGAGGUGAGUAUCUGCAGUGGCAUGUUAUCAGAAAUCAUGCACUGCAAACAAGUGUAGGUAAGGGUUAGGUAGCUGCUAAUGUUACCUGAGGCACCUCAGGUAGCAUAAGUUCUCCGGCUCUGACUGCAUUGUGACAAAGCACCUGAUGAUGAUGUGAUGUCGAAUCCAGACAGAAGCGCCUCAAGGCCAUGAAGCGGCGAGAGCCGAGCGGGAAAAAAUGAUGAUGUAUACAAAAAUAUGUUAUGUUUAAAAAUGUUCAUGUUUAAAUGAGAAACAAUUGUUUGAUUAAAUUGU